This 749-nucleotide long non-coding RNA is filed under the name Mytilus galloprovincialis (Mediterranean mussel). Lineage: Eukaryota; Metazoa; Mollusca; Bivalvia; Mytilida; Mytilidae. The record is from RNAcentral.
GGCAUGGACGCAAACUAUGCAACGUAUAAAACUUAUUCUAGUUAUAAACAUUUCAAAUCAUGAACGACAACGACACAUCAUGGUUAAUAACACAUAACUUUAUUUUACAACAGCACAAGUUAUAAUGUGUUACUUUAGAUGCAUAGUAUAUAUUUUUAAAACUAUAUAUCUCUUUCAUUAUGUCAUUUGCUGUUUUAUCUUUAAAAUAUCUUUUAUCAUUGGCUCUAUUUAGUCGCGAUAUGCGCAUUCAUCAUAAGGACACACACUUUAAAGUUUUAGUAACAAUGCGGUGUUUUAACGAUUUGCCUAAUGUGUCACAUACAAAAGGUAGUAUGAUACAAUUCCAAUUGAAUACAAUAGUCAUAAUCAAUAGAAAAUUUAAAGAAACACACACAUUUAUCUUAAACUAACUUAUAAAAUAAAAGAGUAUAUUCUUGUCAUUUUUACUACUUUGAAAAAUGGUUAUAGUUUUUAAAAUCAGUUUUGAUUCCUCUAAGGUUUUCCACUUUUAACCAGUUCCUAUACGCUAAUGGAUAAUAUCUUUGUGAUGGUUGAAGAACCAAACGUUCACAAGAUGUUAUCAUUUCACUGAGAUGAUCGUUCCUCCCUCGAUAUAGUUUAUGUCGAAUUGUACUAGAUACUGUAGGAUGACUUACUCUCUUUACAUGUUUUCUUUGUUCCUUGAAAGAACUUCCUGUUUUCAUCAUAUUGUCUAUUUCCGAUUCCUUUUUCGUCUGCAAAUAAAUUGA